GCCCCCGUGGCGGAACUGGCAUACGCGGCAGGUUGAGGACCUGUGCCCGCAAGGGCGUGGAGGUUCAAAUCCUCUCGGGGGCACCA
RNAcentral lists this transfer RNA (86 nucleotides) under Chloroflexota bacterium. RNAcentral describes it as "tRNA-Leu". It matches the Rfam family "tRNA". From Rfam's summary of the family: Transfer RNA (tRNA) molecules are approximately 80 nucleotides in length. Their secondary structure includes four short double-helical elements and three loops (D, anti-codon, and T loops). The record is from RNAcentral. RNAcentral also lists the same sequence under 2 other names. Lineage: Bacteria; Bacillati; Chloroflexota.